This is a long non-coding RNA of Asterias rubens (European starfish), 340 nucleotides long. RefSeq lists it as uncharacterized. Lineage: Eukaryota; Metazoa; Echinodermata; Asteroidea; Forcipulatida; Asteriidae. The transcript has 4 exons. The record is from RefSeq and is a predicted model, not a curated record.
CUCCAGUGACAUCUACCUGUCAACAAGGAUGUCCAAGACCAGCAUCUUAUACAGGAGCUUUACUCUCUAGUAAAAGUCAGUGUUUGAGAUAUCCAGCGACAUCUACCUGUCAACAAGGAUGUCCAAGACCAACCUCUUAUACAGGAGCUUCACUCUCUAGUAAAAGUGUUUGUCCGCCAUCGUCAUGAAGAUGUAAAGAGAUUAACAGUAACAAGGUCAUAAUGAUCUGAAUAAUAUGGUGGAUAACUAAGAAGUAUUUGUCCGCCACCGUUGGGAAGAUGUCAAGAGAUCACCAGUAACAAGCUCAGUCAUCUGAACAUGAUGUAGGCCUAUAACAAAG